UAAUACGGAGGUGGCGAGCGUUGUCCGAAGUUACUGGGCGUAAAGCGCGCGUAGGCGGGCUAGUAAGUCGGAAGUGAAAGGCUGGAGCUUAACUCCAGCAGUGCUCCCGAUACUGUUAGUCUUGAGGGCGGCAGGGAGAAGUGGAAUGGCUGGUGUAGCGGUGAAAUGCGUAGAUAUCAGUCGGAACACCGGUGGCGAAGGCGGCUUCUUGGGCCGUUCCUGACGCUGAGGCGCGAAAGCCAGGGGAGCGAACGGGAUUAGAUACCCCGGUAGUCCUGGCCGUAAACGAUGGAUACUAGGUGUCGGGGGUAUCGACCCCUCCGGUGCCGCAGCUAACGCAUUAAGUAUCCCGCCUGGGGAGUACGGCCGCAAGGUUG
RNAcentral lists this ribosomal RNA (377 nucleotides) under uncultured bacterium. RNAcentral describes it as "bacterial SSU rRNA". It matches the Rfam family "Bacterial small subunit ribosomal RNA", at positions 521 to 896 of the family's 1533-position model. The record is from RNAcentral.